This 248-nucleotide ribosomal RNA is filed under the name uncultured Roseburia sp. RNAcentral's name for it is "partial 16S ribosomal RNA". It matches the Rfam family "Bacterial small subunit ribosomal RNA", at positions 524 to 771 of the family's 1533-position model. Lineage: Bacteria; Bacillati; Bacillota; Clostridia; Lachnospirales; Lachnospiraceae. The record is from RNAcentral.
UACGUAGGUGGCAAGCGUUAUCCGGAUUUACUGGGUGUAAAGGGAGCGCAGGCGGUUCUGCAAGUCUGAUGUGAAAGCCCGGGGCUCAACCGCGGGACUGCAUUGGAAACUGCGGGACUGGAGUGUCGGAGGGGUAAGCGGAAUUCCUGGUGUAGCGGUGAAAUGCGUAGAUAUUAGGAGGAACACCAGUGGCGAAGGCGGUCUGCUGGACAGCAACUGACGCUGAGGCUCGAAGGUGCGGGUAUCGA